AUAUAAUUUCACUGGUGUUAAUUUGUCCAAUUUAUCAGGAAUGUGUGAAGCCUGUAAAGUUGGAAAAGAAGCAGGGCAGAUCCGUGGCUAAAAUCCAGAUAGAAGAUGAUGGCAGUUAUUUUCAGGUCUAUCAGGAUGGUCAGAGGGAAAAGUUGGAGAAAGCGAAGAUUACUCUAAACGACUGUCUGGCUUGCAGUGGCUGCAUCACGUCUGCGGAGAGUGUCCUGAUCACCCAACAGAGUCACGAGGAACUGUAUCGUGUGCUACGUCAAAAUAAGCAGGUCAGCAGUAGCGAGCAGAAGGUGGUGGUGGUGUCUGUGUCUCCUCAGUCGAGAGCCUCUCUAGC
This is a long non-coding RNA of Sinocyclocheilus rhinocerous, 346 nucleotides long. RefSeq lists it as uncharacterized. The transcript is spliced from 3 exons. NCBI's taxonomy places the organism in Eukaryota, Metazoa, Chordata, Actinopteri, Cypriniformes, Cyprinidae. The record is from RefSeq and is a predicted model, not a curated record.